This 409-nucleotide ribosomal RNA is filed under the name bacterium. RNAcentral's name for it is "partial 16S ribosomal RNA". It matches the Rfam family "Bacterial small subunit ribosomal RNA", at positions 355 to 776 of the family's 1533-position model. The record is from RNAcentral.
UGGGGAAUAUUGCACAAUGGGCGAAAGCCUGAUGCAGCGACGCCGCGUGAGGGAUGAUGGCCUUCGGGUUGUAAACCUCUUUCAGCAGGGACGAAGCGCAAGUGACGGUACCUGCAGAAGAAGCACCGGCUAACUACGUGCCAGCAGCCGCGGUAAUACGUAGGGUGCAAGCGUUGUCCGGAAUUACUGGGCGUAAAGAGUUCGUAGGCGGUUUGUCGCGUCGUUUGUGAAAACCAGCAGCGCAACUGCUGGCUUGCAGGCGAUACGGGCAGACUUGAGUACUGCAGGGGAGACUGGAAGUCCUGGUGUAGCGGUGAAAUGCGCAGAUAUCAGGAGGAACACCGGUGGCGAAGGCGGGUCUCUGGGCAGUAACUGACGCUGAGGAACGAAAGCGUGGGUAGCGAACAGG